This 838-nucleotide long non-coding RNA is filed under the name Homo sapiens (human). RNAcentral describes it as "HSALNT0162848". The record is from RNAcentral. Lineage: Eukaryota; Metazoa; Chordata; Mammalia; Primates; Hominidae.
CUACCCCCAGGGACUUAGAUAAUGACAGGCACUUCUGCUUCGCCCCAAAUGUUGCGUGUUCCAAGACCACCAUGGCCCACCACGACCCCAUCCUGGGCCUGUAAAAACUUGAGACCCAGCAAGGCAGAGACAGAAGCUACUGAACAGUGAGAGGAACACAUCAGCCAAAGAAGACAAGCGGCUGAACAUUGAGAGGAAGUCGAGGGAGCACGCCAUAGGAGGCCAGCAGGCUUGCAAGCCAUUGACUGACUGACUGAAGGGAAGACGCGGAGUGUGGCUGCAGCAGUCCGAGGAGAGCUGGGGCCGCCAGGCGACCCAAGUCCAGGGGAAGACCAUCUCCCUUCCGGCUCCCCCAUCGGCUGAGAGCUACUUCCACUCAGUAAAACUUUACAUUCAUUCUGCAAGCCCACUUGUGUUCCUAUUCUUCCGGUACACCAAGGCAAGAACCCGGGAUACAGAAAGCCCUCUGUCCUUACAACAAGGUAGAGGGUCUAAUUGAGCUGGUUAACACAAGACACUUAUAGACGGUAAACUAAAAGAGCACCUUGUAACACCCACUAGGGCUUCAGCUGUAAACAUUUACCCUCGACACUGCCUUGGGGUCGGAGCCCCACAGCCUGCCCUUCUGUAUGCUCCCCUAGAGGUCUGAGCAGCAGGGCACUGAAGAAGUGAGCCACAUCCCCAUCGCACGCCCAGCGAGGGGUACAAGGGAACCUUUCCCAUUUCAACUGGGGACCUCUCCUGGGAUCUUGGAAGGACGUGCUUGCUUCCUCCUCGGCUUCUGUCAUGAUUUUAAGUUUCCUGAAGUCUCCUAGCCAUGCUUCCUAUUAAGUCUGCA